Long non-coding RNA from Cyanistes caeruleus (blue tit), 1258 nucleotides. RefSeq lists it as uncharacterized. The record is from RefSeq and is a predicted model, not a curated record. NCBI's taxonomy places the organism in Eukaryota, Metazoa, Chordata, Aves, Passeriformes, Paridae.
UUGUUUUUAAGCAAAGCUACUACUAUGACUUGGUGAUGAACAUCAAACACUUUGCAUCUCAGGUGAACACUCAGGAAAAGGUUGGCAAGGAUGGAAUGAUGUCCAUGUGAAGAAUUACUAUAUAAUUGCUAUGAACAGAUACCAAUUUAUUCCUAAUGAAACAUUAGAGCUGUCCUUGAGAAUGAGAAACUACAGAAAAUGAGGAUGGAGAAAAAACAGAUAACAGCUGGUAAAAGAAGGAACGCAGAGAGGACACCCCUGACUACCUUCAUGCCAGAUGCCCAAAGUAAAGCUGACUUGAAAAAUGCCUGCCGUUAUCACCCCUGCUGCUCUGCUCAUAGCUACAAUUCACUGCUCCUCCUGUGCUGAUACAGCUGUUCAAGGACUGCUCUGUGUCUCACCACAGUGGUUAAGACCCUUGUUCUCACCUGGCACUGCUCUUUUAACCCCUUAUUUCAUGGACCUUUCUUAAAACACUGCCCUACCUUGUGCUGGGCUGACACAAAGGAGGGAUCCAAAACAAGGGGGAAAUGGUGUUGCAAGUGGCUUUUACCACUGAAGAAAACACACAGGAUUCACGGAAGGGAAGAAGAAAAUGCUACUGUUGCAUGGUGUCAAUAUCACCGUUUGGAUAUGUUACCAUGAGGUGCUUUUUAAUUUGAGGAACUCUUUGGAGCCUUCCCUUGAUUCAGAGAUGCUGCUGACUGACUUAGUAGUGCUAUGCAUCACCAUGCCAUUCUCAAAUACUAUCUGUAAGAGUUGUCCCAUUUUUUUGCUUACAACUGAGACUAAAAUAGUGUUUGUAUCAUUUUAGUUUUGUUUAAUGUGAUUACCCUCAUGGUCGUCAGCCCAAUUUAUUUUGACAAAGUUAUCAAAAAGAUCACCAGCCUUCCUCUUCAUAUUUUAAUUGCUUCAGAAUGUACUCAAGUAUUUGUUAGGACAAAUAAAACGGGAAGAUGACUAAAACAUACACAUUCCUUUUAGAUACAGCAUGUGAGUAGGGAGUAGCAGGAGGAAGAAGAGAUGUACAGAAAUGUGCAGCAGCACAAUGAGACAUGUGAAAGAAUCCAAUACCAAAGUUAACCUAAAUGGUAUGGUAAGACUAGAGGUAAAAGCACUGGAAAAUUAAUAUGAUUUUUGGCAAGAAAAAUGAAGGCAUCUCUUGCAUUUAUCUUUUCUGCAGUUGAACUGAAUUCUUGCAUUUAGUGGUGGAUACACUGAUUUUCUGCAGGAUGUAUUUUUCAUUUAAAGUAAAAAU